This 393-nucleotide ribosomal RNA is filed under the name uncultured bacterium. Its description in RNAcentral is "bacterial SSU rRNA". It matches the Rfam family "Bacterial small subunit ribosomal RNA", at positions 505 to 898 of the family's 1533-position model. The record is from RNAcentral.
GUGUCAGCAGCCGCGGUAAUACAGAGGGUGCAAGCGUUAAUCGGAUUUACUGGGCGUAAAGGGCGCGUAGGCGGUUGAGUGAGUGUGAUGUGAAAGCCCCGGGCUUAACCUGGGAAGUGCAUCGCAAACGACUUAACUGGAGUAGGUGAGAGGGUGGCGGAAUUUCCGGUGUAGCGGUGAAAUGCGUAGAGAUCGGAAGGAACGUCAAUGGCGAAGGCAGCCACCUGGCACCAUACUGACGCUGAGGCGCGAGAGCGUGGGGAGCGAACAGGAUUAGAUACCCUGGUAGUCCACGCUGUAAACGAUGAGAACUAAAUGUUGGAGGGGGAACCCUUCAGUAUUGAAGCUAACGCGAUAAGUUCUCCGCCUGGGAAGUACAGUCGCAAGACUGAA